Molecule: ribosomal RNA, 568 nt
Filed under: uncultured bacterium
Lineage: Bacteria
Description: partial 16S ribosomal RNA
Rfam family: Bacterial small subunit ribosomal RNA
Source: RNAcentral
UGGGGAAUAUUGGACAAUGGGCGGAAGCCUGAUCCAGCAACGCCGCGUGAGGGAUGACGGCCUUCGGGUUGUAAACCUCUUUCAGCACAGACGAAGCGCAAGUGACGGUAUGUGCAGAAGAAAGGACCGGCCAAACUACGUGCCAGCAGCCGCGGUAAUACGUAGGGUCCGAGCGUUGUCCGGAAUUAUUGGGCGUAAAGGGCUCGUAGGCGGUUUGUCGCGUCGGGAGUGAAAACACCGGGCUUAACUCGGUGCUUGCUUUCGAUACGGGCAGACUAGAGGUAUUCAGGGGAGAACGGAAUUCCUGGUGUAGCGGUGAAAUGCGCAGAUAUCAGGAGGAACACCGGUGGCGAAGGCGGUUCUCUGGGAAUAUCCUGACGCUGAGGAGCGAAAAGUGUGGGGAGCGAACAGGAUUAGAUACCCUGGUAGUCCACACCGUAAAANGUUGGGCGCUNGGUGUGGGGGUCCAUUCCAACGAUUCCGUGCCGCAGCUAAACGCAUUAAGCGCCCCGCCUGGGGAGUACGGCCCCAAGGCUAAAAACUCAAAUGAAUUGCGGGGUCAUAAGCU